RNAcentral lists this ribosomal RNA (374 nucleotides) under uncultured organism. Its description in RNAcentral is "partial 16S ribosomal RNA". It matches the Rfam family "Bacterial small subunit ribosomal RNA", at positions 527 to 896 of the family's 1533-position model. The record is from RNAcentral.
GUAGGUGGCAAGCGUUGUCCGGAAUUAUUGGGCGUAAAGCGCGCGCAGGGUGGUUCUUUAAGUCUGAUGUGAAAGCCCCCGGGCUCAACCGGGGAGGGUCAUUGGAAACUGGGGAACUUGAGUGCAGGAGAGGAAAGUGGAAUUCCACGUGUAGCGGUGAAAUGCGUAGAUAUGUGGAGGAACACCAGUGGCGAAGGCGACUUUCUGGCCUGUAACUGUCACUGAGGCGCGAAAGCGUGGGGAGCAAACAGGAUUAGAUACCCUGGUAGUCCACGCCGUAAACGAUGAGUGCUAAGUGUUGGGGGGUUUCCGCCCCCCGGUGCUGCAGCUAACGCAUUAAGCACUCCGCCUGGGGAGUACGGUCGCAAAGACUG